AAGUCGUAACAAGGUUUCCGUAGGUGAACCUGCGGAAGGAUCAUUAAUACGCUUUUGUUUGUAACAAAACAAAACGUUUUAAACUCCAAAAGAAAUAGUGGAAAUAUAACUUCCGGAUGCGAAUGUUGGGAACUGAGUCAAAUCGGUUCUUUUGGAAAGGGACUUCAAGCAAUUGACACUUCAGAGUAGAGCAGUGAGGUGUAAUUCUCUUUAUUGAGAGUUUGGUUCUGAAAAACAUUUGUAUCCGGUUAUCAACAUCUGUUCUACAACCUCCAAAAUAUCAAACAAUAAACCCCAUGUACAACAACUUGAACUAAACAUUUUUUUGUUGUCUGCUCGCGCUUUUGUGUGAGAAGAUACUACAAAGAAAAAACCUGAACUUAAGAACAACUCUUAACAACGGAUAUCUUGGUUCUC
This 417-nucleotide unclassified non-coding RNA is filed under the name fungal sp. Its description in RNAcentral is "partial internal transcribed spacer region". The stretch from base 1 to 46 matches the Rfam family "Eukaryotic small subunit ribosomal RNA", at positions 1786 to 1831 of the family's 1831-position model. The record is from RNAcentral. Lineage: Eukaryota; Fungi.